Molecule: non-coding RNA, 621 nt
Organism: Chlorocebus sabaeus (green monkey)
Lineage: Eukaryota; Metazoa; Chordata; Mammalia; Primates; Cercopithecidae
Source: RefSeq, a predicted model, not a curated record
UGGCGUAGUGGUUCCAAUGUGGCAACCAGAGGUGUCCUUCUGGUUGUCUUGGUAUGGAGCCACAGCUCCAGCACUGAGUCACAGUCACAUGCAGAGGCCACCAAGGAACAUGUGAUAUUUCAGAUCUGAGUCGAUGGUUUCACAUGUAAACAUUAUCAGAAAACAAUGAGUCAGGCUCUCCCGAGCCAUAUGCUUCAUCUCAGAGCCAAGGCUGUGUCAUCACUGCCAAAUGCUCCUUCAGGCCACUAAAUCACCACAGUAAGAUCAGAGCUUCAGGACCUAAGUAGUGCCUGGGGAUCUGAAAGAGACGACUGACGGAGGUGGUUGAUGGGAUUCUUACAGCCCUUGUCGGGCUCCAAUUUGCAAAGCUCCAGAGUGGAUCCCCAAGUUCUCUACCAGGAAAUUGUGCAGGAGACUGAGGGAAAGGUGAGGAGGCAGCUAUCAAAUAUUUUCCAGUUCUUUGUUGGAGGCCCUGGCCAGUGGGCAUACUUGAGAAUGAGGAUAAACGAAAAGAGCGCCUCUUACCCAUGAUAAUGGUGGCUGGAAUCAGAGACCAGGCAUGGACAAGAAGCCAGUGGAGAGUGCUGGAGGAUGAGAACCAUGGACACCUGAGUAAACCUA